Drosophila ananassae is the source of this 124-nucleotide small nuclear RNA. RefSeq annotates it as U4atac minor spliceosomal RNA. The record is from RefSeq and is a predicted model, not a curated record. NCBI's taxonomy places the organism in Eukaryota, Metazoa, Arthropoda, Insecta, Diptera, Drosophilidae. The transcript has a single exon.
ACCUUCCUUGUCUUGGGGAGCAGAAAUGUCCAAUGAACGUCUAGUGAGGGCAUUGCUGCUGACACCAAAGAUAUUACCCCCGCUCACUGGUCGCCUGCGAUCAGGGUUCGGAAUUUUUGGACCA